This 1350-nucleotide ribosomal RNA is filed under the name uncultured bacterium. RNAcentral's name for it is "bacterial SSU rRNA". It matches the Rfam family "Bacterial small subunit ribosomal RNA", at positions 28 to 1395 of the family's 1533-position model. The record is from RNAcentral.
GACAAACGCUGGCGGCGUGCCUAAUACAUGCAAGUCGAACGACCAACGCCUUCGGGCAAGUAAGAGUGGCGCACGGGCGAGGAACACGUAGAUAAUCUGCCCUUCAGUGGGGAAUAACUCUCCGAAAGGAGAGCUAAUACCGCAUAAGACCACAAGCUCUGAGGAGCAAGGGGUUAAAGGAUUUAUUCGCUGAAGGAUGAGUCUGCGUCCGAUUAGCUAGUUGGUGAGGUAAUGGCUUACCAAGGCAAUGAUCGGUAGAUGGUCUGAGAGGAUGAUCAUCCCCACUGGAACUGAGACACGGUCCAUACUCCUACGGGAGGCAGCAGUAGGGAAUAUUGCACAAUGGGGGAAACCCUGAUGCAGCAACGCCGCGUGAGUGAUGAAGGCUCUAGGGUCGUAAAGCUCUGUCGUGUGGGAAGAAACAAAUGACGGUACCACACAAGAAAGGACCGGCCAACUUCGUGCCAGCAGCCACGGUAAUACGGGGGGUCCAAGCGUUGUUCGGAAUCACUGGGCGUAAAGCGCAUGUAAGUGGCUUUUCAAGUCAACUGUGAAAGCCCCGGGCCUAACCCGGGAAGUGCAGUUGAUACUGUUGAGCUUGAGUACUAGAGAUGAUAGUGGAAUUCCAGGUGUAGUGGUGAAAUACGUAGAUAUCUGGAGGAACAUCGGUGGCGAAGGCGGCUAUCUGGUCUCGAUACUGACACUGAGAUGCGAAAGCGUGGGGAUCAAACAGGAUUAGAUACCCUGGUAGUCCACGCCGUAAACGAUGGAUACUUGUUGUUAGAGGUAUUGACCCCUUUAGUGACGAAGCUAACGCGUUAAGUAUCCCGCCUGGGGAGUACGGUCGCAAGAUUAAAACUCAAAGAAAUUGACGGGGGCCCGCACAAGCGGUGGAGCAUGUGGUUCAAUUCGAUGCAACGCGAAAAACCUUACCUAGAUUUGACAUACUGUGGAAGAUUCUGAGAAAUCAGGUCGCCUUCGGGCCGCAGUACAGGUGCUGCAUGGCUGUCGUCAGCUCGUGUCGUGAGAUGUUGGGUUAAGUCCCGCAACGAGCGCAACCCCUGUCUUUAGUUGCCAGCAUUUAGUUGGGCACUCUAAAGAGACUGCCGACGUUAAGUCGGAGGAAGGUGGGGAUGACGUCAAGUCCUCAUGGCCCUUAUAUCUAGGGCUACACACGUGCUACAAUGGUUGCUACAAAGGGCUGCAAAACAGUGAUGUUUAGCAAAUCCCAAAAAGGCAAUCUAAGUUCGGAUUGGAGUCUGCAACUCGACUCCAUGAAGCUGGAAUCGCUAGUAAUCGUGGAUCAGCACGCCACGGUGAAUACGUUCCCGGGCCUUGUACACACCGCCC